RNAcentral lists this small nuclear RNA (118 nucleotides) under Octodon degus (degu). Its description in RNAcentral is "U4 spliceosomal RNA (ENSODEG00000025774.1)". It matches the Rfam family "U4 spliceosomal RNA", at positions 1 to 108 of the family's 138-position model. Rfam says of the family: U4 small nuclear RNA (U4 snRNA) is a component of the major U2-dependent spliceosome. Lineage: Eukaryota; Metazoa; Chordata; Mammalia; Rodentia; Octodontidae. The record is from RNAcentral.
AGCUUUGUGCAGUGGCAGUAUCGUAGCCAAUGAGGUUUAUUCGAGGUGUGAUUAUUGCUAAUUGAAACUUUUCCCAACACCCACCAUGAUGACUUGAAAUAUAGUGAAACUGGUCAGG